UGCAAGUCGAACGAGAGAGAGGGAGCUUGCUUCCUUGAUCGAGUGGCGAACGGGUGAGUAACGCGUGAGGAACCUGCCUCAAAGAGGGGGACAACAGUUGGAAACGACUGCUAAUACCGCAUAAGCCCACGGCUCGGCAUCGAGCAGAGGGAAAAGGAGCAAUCCGCUUUGAGAUGGCCUCGCGUCCGAUUAGCUAGUUGGUGAGGUAAUGGCCCACCAAGGCGACGAUCGGUAGCCGGACUGAGAGGUUGAACGGCCACAUUGGGACUGAGACACGGCCCAGACUCCUACGGGAGGCAGCAGUGGGGAAUAUUGCACAAUGGGGGAAACCCUGAUGCAGCGACGCCGCGUGGAGGAAGAAGGUCCUCGGAUUGUAAACUCCUGUUGUUGAGGAAGAUAAUGACGGUACUCAACAAGGAAGUGACGGCUAACUACGUGCCAGCAGCCGCGGUAAAACGUAGGUCACAAGCGUUGUCCGGAAUUACUGGGUGUAAAGGGAGCGCAGGCGGGCGAUCAAGUUGGAAGUGAAAUCCAUGGGCUCAACCCAUGAACUGCUUUCAAAACUGAUUGUCUUGAGUAGUGCAGAGGUAGGCGGAAUUCCCGGUGUAGCGGUGGAAUGCGUAGAUAUCGGGAGGAACACCAGUGGCGAAGGCGGCCUACUGGGCACCAACUGACGCUGAGGCUCGAAAGUGUGGGUAGCAAACAGGAUUAGAUACCCUGGUAGUC
RNAcentral lists this ribosomal RNA (726 nucleotides) under uncultured bacterium. RNAcentral's name for it is "bacterial SSU rRNA". It matches the Rfam family "Bacterial small subunit ribosomal RNA", at positions 56 to 795 of the family's 1533-position model. The record is from RNAcentral.